This 217-nucleotide unclassified non-coding RNA is filed under the name Hevea brasiliensis (rubber tree). The record is from RNAcentral. Lineage: Eukaryota; Viridiplantae; Streptophyta; Magnoliopsida; Malpighiales; Euphorbiaceae.
GCGUUAUGGCCCGCGCUUCAUUCCCGCAACGAUCUGAUCCGUGUCUCGCAGGAUGACUAUCAGUCCUAUCGAGAAGUGAACGCCUUCAUGGCGCGCGCGCUGAUGCGCUUCAACAAGCCGACUGCCGCGUUCUGGGUUCAGGAUUAUCACUUCCUCACGCUGGGUGCGGAGAUGCGCGAGCUUGGCGUCCGUAAUCCGCUUGGCUUCUUUCUCCAUA